RNAcentral lists this ribosomal RNA (694 nucleotides) under Limosilactobacillus fermentum. RNAcentral's name for it is "bacterial SSU rRNA". It matches the Rfam family "Bacterial small subunit ribosomal RNA", at positions 663 to 1357 of the family's 1533-position model. Lineage: Bacteria; Bacillati; Bacillota; Bacilli; Lactobacillales; Lactobacillaceae. The record is from RNAcentral.
GGAACUCCAUGUGUAGCGGUGGAAUGCGUAGAUAUAUGGAAGAACACCAGUGGCGAAGGCGGCUACCUGGUCUGCAACUGACGCUGAGACUCGAAAGCAUGGGUAGCGAACAGGAUUAGAUACCCUGGUAGUCCAUGCCGUAAACGAUGAGUGCUAGGUGUUGGAGGGUUUCCGCCCUUCAGUGCCGGAGCUAACGCAUUAAGCACUCCGCCUGGGGAGUACGACCGCAAGGUUGAAACUCAAAGGAAUUGACGGGGGCCCGCACAAGCGGUGGAGCAUGUGGUUUAAUUCGAAGCUACGCGAAGAACCUUACCAGGUCUUGACAUCUUGCGCCAACCCUAGAGAUAGGGCGUUUCCUUCGGGAACGCAAUGACAGGUGGUGCAUGGUCGUCGUCAGCUCGUGUCGUGAGAUGUUGGGUUAAGUCCCGCAACGAGCGCAACCCUUGUUACUAGUUGCCAGCAUUAAGUUGGGCACUCUAGUGAGACUGCCGGUGACAAACCGGAGGAAGGUGGGGACGACGUCAGAUCAUCAUGCCCCUUAUGACCUGGGCUACACACGUGCUACAAUGGACGGUACAACGAGUCGCGAACUCGCGAGGGCAAGCAAAUCUCUUAAAACCGUUCUCAGUUCGGACUGCAGGCUGCAACUCGCCUGCACGAAGUCGGAAUCGCUAGUAAUCGCGGAUCAGCAUGC